RNAcentral lists this long non-coding RNA (230 nucleotides) under Elaeis guineensis (African oil palm). Its description in RNAcentral is "long non-coding RNA (EGUI_LNC007260)". Lineage: Eukaryota; Viridiplantae; Streptophyta; Magnoliopsida; Arecales; Arecaceae. The record is from RNAcentral.
CUAUAUAUAAGAAAUAAUCAAUUCUAAAUGAUUCUUCAAGAGAUUUUGUUAUUUCAUUGUCAACAUUCUCAUCAAAUUAUUUCUUUCUGCGAAUGAUACGCGUAUCAUGAAAUUUAGGUUCUAUUUUCAUUUCAAAUGCAAUUUCUUUAGAAGAAAUCAUAGCGGAUGCAAAUCCAUCUUCUUUAUAUUUUUCAAAAAAAGAAAGAAGACCUUUUAAUUGUUCUAUAGCA